UAUUGUGAUGAUUGCCUACAUGGAUGGGACCAUCAGGACUCGAACACAUCAAGGUGUGACAAAGCUUGUCUUCCUGGUACGUAUGGAAAGAACUGUCAACUGAAGUGUUCUCCUGGGUGUGCCAACCAAACCUGCGAUCGAGUCACUGGGUAUUGUGAUGAUUGCCUACAUGGAUGGGACCAUCAGGACUCGAACACAUCAAGGUGUGACAAAGCUUGCCUCCCCGGUACGUAUGGAAAGAACUGUCAACUACAGUGUUCUCCUGGAUGUGCCAACCAAACCUGCGAUCGAGUCACUGGGUAUUGUGAUGAUUGCCUACAUGGAUGGGACCAUCAGGACUCGAACACAUCAAGGUGUG
Molecule: long non-coding RNA, 358 nt
Organism: Haliotis rufescens (red abalone)
Lineage: Eukaryota; Metazoa; Mollusca; Gastropoda; Lepetellida; Haliotidae
Exons: 3
Source: RefSeq, a predicted model, not a curated record